ACCACAAAUUCACUCAAAAUCAAGGAGUGCAGCAAGGAAAUGGGAGGAGCAAGAAGGCGAGGAGAGGCAGCGGCGAAGCGGAGGAAACAGCCGCGAACCGAGAGGAUUCACCGAGUGAGGUUGAACGUCAAGAGGAUGGAGUGAUGAUCGGAGUCGAUGUUAUCAAGUUGAUCUCCCAACGAUUCAUGUCUUCAUACACGAACCUUACUUAUUCCGCUGCGCUUUUGUGAAGUGAGAAUUGUAGAACCUCACCAUCAACUCUGAUUUAUUUGAGGAGAUGUUUAUUCUGUUUUCAAGACCAUGUAAUGAAAUACUUGGCUUCUUUGAUAUAAAUUGACUUGGCCUUUGUGUAAA
This is a non-coding RNA of Salvia hispanica, 354 nucleotides long. The record is from RefSeq and is a predicted model, not a curated record. NCBI's taxonomy places the organism in Eukaryota, Viridiplantae, Streptophyta, Magnoliopsida, Lamiales, Lamiaceae.